Molecule: ribosomal RNA, 1029 nt
Filed under: Triticum aestivum (bread wheat)
Lineage: Eukaryota; Viridiplantae; Streptophyta; Magnoliopsida; Poales; Poaceae
Description: partial small subunit ribosomal RNA
Source: RNAcentral
AUGGCAGACGGCUCCAGGGACAUUAGCAGGCGGCGGAAUCCAGCGGACAAGCUCACCGAAGACCUCGUCGUCGAGAUCCUGUCGCGCGUGCCGUACAAGUCGCUGUGCCGGUUCAAGUGCGUCUCCAAGCGGUGGCGCGGCAUCAUCUCCCACCCCGACCACCGCAAGGCGCUGCCGCAGCACCAUCUCCAUGACCUCGCCGGAUUCCUCUACUCGAGCCGCGGCCCCGGCCCUGACUAUUUAUCAAUUCACAAUUUCAACCAUGUCUCGCCGGGAGGCCGCCCUCCUAUCCGCCCUACACUCCCCUUCCUGCCUGACUGCGAGCUAUUCGACCUUCUGGAUAGCUGCAACGGCCUGCUCCUCUGCCGCCGCUUCGAGACCGCUUAUUCGCGGGCAUUCGACUACGUGGUGUGCAAUCCUGCCACGGAGAAAUGGGUUGCUUUGCCCGGCUUCUUCAGCAAGAUGCAGGCAGCUCGCUUGGGGUUCGACCGGGCCGUGUCCUCGCACUUCCAUGUGUUCCAGUUCGUGGAGGAUGGGGCUGCAGAUGCAAAUGCCGAUACAGACGACGAUGAUGAUGGCGAUAGUUUUGGGCACGUCAGAGCGGUUGACAUCUACUCGUCCAAAACCGGGGCCUGGACUCACAAGGACAGCGGUUGGGACUUCCUACCUAGGAUAGUGAGUGAUUCUAGAAGUGUCUUUGUCAAUGGUUUUCUGCAUUUGCUCGCCAUCGAGUCUACGGUGGUGGCAAUGGAUGUGGAGGGAACUACUUGGAGGGCUAUUCCUAUGCCGGACGAUGAGGAUGCCCCCAUAAUAGAUGUUGAUGUCGGGUUCAUUGACCUGUCUCGAGGGCGUUUGUAUCUGGCAAAUAGUGAUCAGCAUGAUUUUGAUAAACUGUCGAUCUGGGUUCUCGAGGACUACGGCGGUGAAGCGUGGGUCUUGGAGCACAGUGUCAGGUAUGUGAAUCUAUUUGGAGUGAAGAAUGUCCGGCUGGGAGACGAGUACCAUAUUGUCGCCCUCCACCCACAAUGA